Molecule: ribosomal RNA, 583 nt
Filed under: Leptogium hibernicum
Lineage: Eukaryota; Fungi; Ascomycota; Lecanoromycetes; Peltigerales; Collemataceae
Description: LSU rRNA
Rfam family: Eukaryotic large subunit ribosomal RNA
Source: RNAcentral
GGAUUGCCUCAGUAACGGCGAGUGAAGCGGCAGCAGCUCAAAUUUGAAAUCCGGCCCCCUCGGGGCCCGAGUUGUAAUUUGGAGAGGGUGCUUCGGGGCGCGCCGCCGGUCCGAGUGCCUUGGAACAGGCCGCCGUGGAGGGUGAGAGCCCCGUACGCGGCCGGCGGACCGUCCCCGCGCGAAGCCCUUUCGACGAGUCGAGUUGUUUGGGAAUGCAGCUCCAAGCGGGUGGUAAAUUCCAUCUAAAGCUAAAUACAGGCCGGAGACCGAUAGCGCACAAGUAGAGUGAUCGAAAGAUGAAAAGCACCUUGAAAAGGGGGUCAAACAGCACGUGAAAUUGCUGAGAGGGAAGCGCUGGCCCCCAGACCUGCUUCGCGGGCGAUCCCCGGCGGCCUCCGCGCCGCGGGGGCUCCACGCCCGCGUUCAGGCCAGCACGGGUCCGGGCGGCGGGACAAAGCGCCCGGGAAUGUAACUCCCUCCGGGGAGCCUUAUAGCCCAGGCGGUCAUGCCGCCCGCCCGGACCGAGGACCGCGCUGCGGCGAGGGUGCUGGCGUAAUGGGGGUCAGCGACCCGUCUUGAAACA